Long non-coding RNA from Zea mays, 192 nucleotides. RefSeq lists it as uncharacterized. The record is from RefSeq and is a predicted model, not a curated record. The transcript has 2 exons. Lineage: Eukaryota; Viridiplantae; Streptophyta; Magnoliopsida; Poales; Poaceae.
UGUUACAGGAUCAAUUCCGAACGUGAUAAUUUUGCAGGUAGUUCAAGGAGAAAGAGGUUUUCAUCAGUUAAGAGUGAUCCACUGUCUGAUGUUUUUGAGGACAUUGACAUUACUAAGGAGUAUGGAAAUUACAGCAGUUCAACAAGGCAGUCCCUUGAAGCUUGGUCUGCUGCUGAACUAGAUUUGAGCCUU